GAUGAACGCUGGCGGCGUGCCUAAUACAUGCAAGUCGAGCGAACGGACGAGAAGCUUGCUUCUCUGAUGUUAGCGGCGGACGGGUGAGUAACACGUGGAUAACCUACCUAUAAGACUGGGAUAACUUCGGGAAACCGGAGCUAAUACCGGAUAAUAUUUUGAACCGCAUGGUUCAAAAGUGAAAGACGGUCUUGCUGUCACUUAUAGAUGGAUCCGCGCUGCAUUAGCUAGUUGGUAAGGUAACGGCUUACCAAGGCAACGAUGCAUAGCCGACCUGAGAGGGUGAUCGGCCACACUGGAACCGAGACACGGUCCAGACUCCUGCGGGAGGCAGCAGUAGGGAAUCUUCCGCAAUGGGCGAAAGCCUGACGGAGCAACGCCGCGUGAGCGAUGAAGGUCUUCGGAUCGUAAAACUCUGUUAUUAGGGAAGAACAUAUGUGUAAGUAACUGUGCACAUCUUGACGGUACCUAAUCAGAAAGCCACGGCUAACUACGUG
This 497-nucleotide ribosomal RNA is filed under the name uncultured bacterium. RNAcentral's name for it is "partial 16S ribosomal RNA". It matches the Rfam family "Bacterial small subunit ribosomal RNA", at positions 28 to 507 of the family's 1533-position model. The record is from RNAcentral.